RNAcentral lists this ribosomal RNA (495 nucleotides) under uncultured bacterium. RNAcentral describes it as "partial 16S ribosomal RNA". It matches the Rfam family "Bacterial small subunit ribosomal RNA", at positions 28 to 507 of the family's 1533-position model. The record is from RNAcentral.
GACGAACGCUGGCGGCGUGCCUAAUACAUGCAAGUCGAACGCUGAAGGAGGAGCUUGCUUCUCUGGAUGAGUUGCGAACGGGUGAGUAACGCGUAGGUAACCUGCCUGGUAGCGGGGGAUAACUAUUGGAAACGAUAGCUAAUACCGCAUAAUAGUAGAUGUUGCAUGACAUUUGCUUAAAAGGUGCAAUUGCAUCACUACCAGAUGGACCUGCGUUGUAUUAGCUAGUUGGUGAGGUAACGGCUCACCAAGGCAACGAUACAUAGCCGACCUGAGAGGGUGAUCGGCCACACUGGGACUGAGACACGGCCCAGACUCCUACGGGAGGCAGCAGUAGGGAAUCUUCGGCAAUGGACGGAAGUCUGACCGAGCAACGCCGCGUGAGUGAAGAAGGGUUUCGGAUCGUAAAGCUCUGUUGUAAGAGAAGAACGAGUGUGAGAGUGGAAAGUUCACACUGUGACGGUAUCUUACCAGAAAGAGACGGCUAACUACGUG